UCGUCGCCUUCUUCCACAGCUGGCACCGAUGCCGCUCAUCAUGCCAGCGUACCCAUACUGCCCCUCCUUUGCGAAGGCACUGACGGCACUGACCCACAGCCAGUCAAUGUGGCGUUGGAGUGGAACUACAUGACCAAGAAAGUGGCGCGUGCCAGUGACGUUCAGAAUAAUCUGGUUGCAUGUGCCCAAAUCUGCUUUCGAGCUUGGGGAGAACAAUAAAUGCCGUUGGCAGUCCUCGAAACAUACGAAGCUGGACGUGACUGUGGAGGCGACAGAACAUCAAAACUCUUUAAUUGCUUCAAGAAUUGGUCACGAAAAAGUGAACACUUAUUCUCUCAACAACAAGCCAUUCUGUAAAACCUCAAUUCAAUGCACGCGGGUCCUUAGUAUAGGAACCAACUUGAGAAGCGAUGACGUCUCGACGUGCCUCGAUGUCUCAGGAGUUACAGUCCUAAGCCCUGUCCUGUGCUGCACGGAAAUUGUAUCGUGGCCCAUACUGUUAGAGUAGUGCAUCUCGGUUGGUACCAAGGGCCCAAAAUAAAGUCCUCCGAAAAUCGUCUGACGUUGAUGGUUGCCAGAUUGGUUGCCAGAUUUUUUGAUAUGGUGUUUGCAUUUCGGCACAGCCGAGGUAAGCGGUGCGGUGAAUAAACAUACACAAUGCGUGAGAGUAAAGUUACGACUUGUGUGGUGCAUACAUGCAUAAGCACACACAGUGAAUGAUAUUGUGCUUUGUACAAUGUGAAA
This is a long non-coding RNA of Dermacentor andersoni, 744 nucleotides long. RefSeq lists it as uncharacterized. The record is from RefSeq and is a predicted model, not a curated record. NCBI's taxonomy places the organism in Eukaryota, Metazoa, Arthropoda, Arachnida, Ixodida, Ixodidae.